CUAGGAAUCAAGCCUCCCAAGUGCUUUGGAUACACAAUGGAACAGCAGUCUUGGAGUAACAACAAGAAGCAGAAGUCUACAGCAAUCUGGCCUCCAAUGGAACAAAUCUUCAGAAAUUACAGGAAGAUUUAGUCAAGGAAAAUCGGCGUGUAGAGAAGAAACUAGCCGAAAAUCACCUCCAUCGACCUCUCUUUCGUAUAAGAGAGCUGUUCCAUACGGAAGGGAAAGUCUCGGAAAGGUGACAGCAGGAGUAAAGAAGCUAUUAUGCAAUGCCAGAAGGCCACCUAUCAACAGUUUGCUGAAGCAUUCUCAAUCACUCCUUCGAUGAAAACAAUUACUCUUAUUCAAGAGAAAAAAGUUGAACUCAACAAAGAGGUUUUGUUGUAAUUUGGGAGUUCAAUUUGUACAGAAUUAAUGAAUCUGGGAUUCAUCUUGUACAUAUUGUACAUAUCUAUUGUUAUUCUUUCAAUUCUUUUGUAAUUAUAUAUAGUACACAGUUAUUGUAGUUUAUAAUACCAAUGUUCAUCAUAUUUGAAAAUUCA
Olea europaea var. sylvestris is the source of this 542-nucleotide long non-coding RNA. RefSeq lists it as uncharacterized. The record is from RefSeq and is a predicted model, not a curated record. The transcript is spliced from 3 exons. NCBI's taxonomy places the organism in Eukaryota, Viridiplantae, Streptophyta, Magnoliopsida, Lamiales, Oleaceae.